Ascaris lumbricoides (common roundworm) is the source of this 116-nucleotide non-coding RNA. Lineage: Eukaryota; Metazoa; Nematoda; Chromadorea; Rhabditida; Ascarididae. The record is from Rfam.
GCACGGAUGGCCGAGUGGUCUAAGGCGCCAGACUCAAGUAUAAACUUCGCGAGAGCAGUCGCGACGGGCGUUCUGGUAUCCGUAUGGAUGCGUGGGUUCGAAUCCCACUCCGUGCA